RNAcentral lists this long non-coding RNA (5460 nucleotides) under Linum usitatissimum (flax). RNAcentral describes it as "long non-coding RNA (LUSI_LNC005426)". Lineage: Eukaryota; Viridiplantae; Streptophyta; Magnoliopsida; Malpighiales; Linaceae. The record is from RNAcentral.
GUGGGCCUUGUGCAAUCAUGGGGUUACUGCAAACACUGUACCCGGUAAGUGUAUGAGAUUAUCUAUGCUGAAUCCAUAAUUUUGAACGUGAACUUGAACUUCCAAGUGACAGAAACACAUAAUUUUGGUUUCGAUACAGUAUUCUUUUAGUCUGCCGUACUUAUUUCAGGCCCAAUUUUGAUUAUUUGCAGAGUUCUUAAUCUUCCACAGAGCCAGUACAUAACUCCAAACUACCAGCAGCAGACUAUCAAUGUUGGGAAUUCUAACGGCAAUCAUAAUAAGGGUGCAGAAAAGAGGUACUUCAUCUUGACUCUGUUAUAAUACUAAGACUACCCGAGGGCUUCACGAUUUACUCGAAAUUAGUUUGUUUCUGAACACCUGAUACGUACACCUUACAUGCAUUUAGGUGCUUUUUCUUUGAAAUUUCACAUGCAUUACUUCUCUUUUAGUAGAAUAUCAUAUGCCUUUACAGUCAUGUAACAUAUUUACUGCUAUUUGGUUUCGAACUCUGUUUAUUUGGAUCGCCAAAAGUCAUACUUUUAUUAGAUAUGAAUUUGUGAGCUUGAAAUCCUUAAUCUGGGAAGUGGGAGUCCAGAAAUUUCUCUGUUCUGGAUUGUAUCAUGACGUAACCAUGAUCAGCUGACAUUUGAGUUUCUAGGCCAAAUGGAAGACCUCCUAUGGGUAAAGGAAACAAAAAGGAGAGCAGAAAACGUUCCCAUGCCGAUGACGAUGAGCUAGAUCCCAUGGAUCCAAGCGCUUAUUCCGAUGCUCCUCGAGGCGGCUGGUAAGGAAUAUAAACUAUCUUCUGGCAAACUGCAUAUUAUGGUUGGUUCUGUUACUGAUGAUCUAAUGUGUUUGACCUCAUAGGGUUGUGGGCUUAAAAGGGGUGCAGCCAAGAGCAGCCGAUACGACUGCCACGGUAUAUGCUACACUUGGUCACUCCGAAGAUGAGAUUUAUUUGUCGAAUCGUACGUCUAGUCAUUGGAUCUUAUUCCAUUGGUGGUUAAACUUGUUUUGUUCUGUUUUUGUGCAGGGUCCUCUUUUCCAGCAACGCCCUUAUCCAUCACCUGGAGCCGUGUUGCGGAAGAAUGCAGAGGCUUCAUCGCAAUCGAAGAAGCCGGGCUCUCAGUACGCUCCGAUAUCGAAGAAAGGCGAUGGUAGUGACGGUCUGGGUCAGGCUGAUUGAUGAUCUACAUUAGUUGUUAGCACAAAUAGAAGAAACAAAAUGAGUGGUUGGUUGAGGGUGUAUCCGAUAGACUGGCGGUCCAAGUGCACCAGUGUAGUUAAUAGCAUUGUGUUCAAGAUAUCAAGUUCGAAUUUAGCCACACCCCACAUAUGUAUCCAUCCACAUGUAACAUUUACCUUUCUGUUGUCUUGUAUUGUCCUAUCUGGAAUAAAAUAUUUAGAUGGAUUAACAGAUUGGUAAAACAUGCUCCAUUGCUUACUCUCUCAACAUUCAUUUUAGAACUAGAAGAUUUGAUAAUCUUUUUGAAAAGAUAAGUAUUUGGUAGUUUAUAUUUUUGGUAUUGAAACAAUAGAAACUACAAAAUUUCAAAAUUUUCUAUGUGUCAUAUGAUAAGUAAUAACUUUCCCUAACAUAACUACAAGAACCUGAGACUCUAACAGCAGCAAAAUAUUAAAGACAAAGGAGAAAUUUUGAGGGAAAAAAACGCUCUUUUAGUUUUUGUCAGUAUUAGUGUUAACGAUACAAUAUAGAUCGUUACUGUUUAAUUACAGUUCAACUACGAUUUAUAACGGUUUAAGUAGUUGAACCUCGUACUCAACGAGACCAAGAAUGCAGAGAGCUAUUCCGGUAGAAUAUAGGAUUAUAUAAACAUUACCCUUUGUCACAAUUCAGAAAGACUACAAGGACAGUGAGAAAGAUUCAUCCUUUUCCCAUCACGAAAAUCGAACCAAACCGAAUCAAUCCGAACGAAUCUACGUAUCAUUCGACGCGCUACUCACACCAGUUGACAUGAAUUUGUUGGUCGAAAUCGACCCAGAAUGCUAAAAACAUACCAGCAUACAACUUCACUAAGCUAACAUCGCAAGUGAUUUAGAAACUUGCAUUUGAAGACACUGAGAGAAUCACUUUGUAUCGUUCCAAUUUGAUCGGAUGUCCCCGAAGGGACGACAGGAGAGAAUCACUAUUGGCGCCAAUAUGGAGGUUCUAUUAUGAACAUAGUUCAAAAAUCAACACAUGAUUUGGUGAGGGAAAAACGGAACUAAAAUGCCAAAAAAUCCUCUUCAUUUCAAUAGAAAUGCACAAACAAAACUGAAAGCAAAUGGAUUCAGAAUCGAGACCUCAAUUGAAGUCCUUCAAUCUCUUCUUCAGCACAUCGAUCGACUUCUUCUUCGCGCUCUGCUUUGCAUUUCUGUUAGAAAGACUACCGAAAAUCGAAUCAGUAGAGUCCUUGAACUUGUCACAAAUUGUAGCCACCUUCUUAUAGUCCAAACUGUUAUAGCUCCUCUCCCUAAUCACAGGAUUCAUGAAGUUCUCCGGCUGGCUGCUCGACAGGAGAUUAAUCAGCUGCCGCGCUUCCACCAAACACGCUUUGAAACUACCUCCCUUGUAUAUCUCGCUCAGACCGCUCGUAUGGAACCUCUCCUCGGCGAAAUUCUCCACCAUUUUCAGAUCAUAGUUGAGGGACAGGACCGCAUUGGCAUUGAACCGCUUCACACUGUCGCUGAGAAACGCUGCGACAAUCGAGCUUGAAAUGUGCUCCAGUGCACCACAUCCGACUUUGAACAGAGCAUCCAUGGGUAAAAUCUGCUGCGCUGUCGAUAAAACAGUGUCGAGAUAAAUCACCACCUCGUUCAUGUACUCGUUUCCGAUCUGAGGCGUCUCCUCGGAAGUCCAGUUGAUGUUUUCCGCAAGUGACAUGAACUCUUCCAGCUUGGCGUUCACUAAAGCUAGCAGGGAAAGGUAAGCUUCAUCCCUUGAGGUUUUCAAGAUCACCUUCGCAGUCAAAGUAGCCUGCGGCCUCUCAACCGAUCGGACCGGAAUUCCACAUAGUUGGGCCGCAUGGCGAGUGAAGAACUCGCAGGCUCUUUCGAGAACCGAUAUGUUCGCUGCAAUCUGCAUCGCUUGUGAAACCCCAAUCGCACUGCUAUUGAUUGUACUCAGCACGACUUCGUUCAAAACAUCGAUUAGUAACUUGUCCGAAUACUUCCUCACAAGAUCGUAGAUAUUCGUAUGCAUACCGUACGACAGGUAAUCCACCGAUCCCUUGAUGAACGACCGAACGAUCCGGCAAGUAUCGGGCACCAUGGAUGAGAACGGCGCAAUAUACGGAAAAGCAGGCAUAAUAUCUGACGUCUGGAGCUCGAAUAUGAGGACAUUGUUCUCGUAAUCAGUAUCCUUCUUCAUCACCAUUUGCUCGUAAGUGUCGUUUCCGAGAGCGCUGAUAAUCUGCUCGCGACAUUCCUGCAGGAGAAGGUCGUGAUAUUUCUCUCGGCCUUUGUCGAGAGCCUCCAGGAUCUGCCUCGAGUCAUAGCCAUAUGUUCGAAGAGUCUCCGCAAGAAGAGUGACGUAAUCCUUCACAAGGAGGAGAUGAGUAGCUGAAUCCGUAUGGUUGUUGAACUGAUCAUCCAAAAGAGAUGUCACUUUGUUCUUAGCUGUUUCCCACAUAGCUUCGACCUGAUCCGAAGAUAGAACACCGCUCGCGGUCCUCAAGACUCGAUCCUCCACGAUGAAGUACCCAGCAAUCUGAGCCAAAUAGGUCUGGUAAGAUUCUAUAAAAGGCUGCCCAUACGAGAUCUGCAAAUCCGAAUGCAGCUGUAAAACCCGAUUCUUGUAGUAGUAGUCACGGAACUGAUCUUGGAUUCCGAGGCAAGCGUGGAUAUGAUAGGCUCGGUACAGCGGUGUGAUGUCGAACUGUAGAACAGAAUCUUCGUCGAUUUCUUCGACAUCUAGAGUGAAUGCGAAAUCUCCUAAUAAACCUGAAACGUUCUGCUCCUCGGAUUUCCUCUGUCGUUCGAGCAUCUCUUCGUCUCUCUGGCGUGCCGAUGCAGACUGGCUUAUCGCGGUCUGGCCGAUGGUCUUUGCAGAGCUCCUGACGUGGACAAGCCAUUCGUUGAACUGACUGGUGACUUUCUUCUCGAUAUGCGAUUUGAUGACCGGAAUCGUCUUCCCUACCACCAUUUUAAGCGACCCCACGGGAAUGUUCUUCAAGUAAUUCUUCUCAAUCAAAUCCAAGUUCUUCAACGCCGGGUAGAAAUUACCAUCGGCCAUGUGGUUGUUGCAUUUCACACAGAGCUCCAAGACCUGAACACAAGCCUUGGACAUUCUCACAGCUUCAGUCACGUUCUUCCUAAUCGAAUACGAUUCAAGAAGCUCCUCCAGUUUGAUCAGAAGAGAACUCCCAACUUCCUGCAGCUUCAAAUUAUCGCUCGAGAGCUCGCCUUUCAGAUCUUCGGCGUCGACCAGGACACCACGAAGCUCGUCAACCGCAAGGAUGAAUUCUUCGUAGUGGCUCUUACAAAGCUCCUCGAUUUCAAAUUCUUUCUUCUUUACAACGGCUUUCAGCUGCUGCACGAGAGCUUCAGGACGAUUCACAUCAAAUGCGUGCCUGACGAUAGGACCUAGAUCAUCCCCAUUGCCGAUUAAAGUUGCAAGGACCGAGUCCUCCCCACCAGUAUCCCCAUUCUCCACAACUGCUCUCCUCUUUGGUUUUGCAUCCAUGGCUUUAGUAGGAAACUAACUCUGGAAAUAAUCCAUGUCCAAUGUAAAUAGCGAAAUCAGAAUGGCCCGAGACCCAGAGCAGAAUUUUUGAAAAACUACACCGGGUGAAAUUCGAAUGCGAAAAGCAUCGAUUUUGAAAAUUUUACAUGGAAUUUCAUCACUUUAGAACCAACGAACCCUAAGCAGUGAACUCGAAACCAAGUCAGUCAAUCGCACACAUCAUACAGAAACCAUACAUCCAACUGACUAUUGAUUCCUCUUCAGUAAUUCUACCAUUUCAAAGGAAAAAAAUACAAUCAUACAGUCCCCAUGAAACCCAAAGAGCCAUCGAUUAUAGAAGUGAAACCGAAUUCCAGGUUCAGCUGAACAGCAAAAUUAAAAAACUGGGGGCGCAGAGUUAACCAAACAAACAUAUGAACCCCAUAUAAGCAAUCCUAGGGAAAUCAGAUUACAAAGAGUCGGAAUCGAAGGAGAGAAAGGCACUUACAGGAAGAAGGUGAGAAAGAGAGGAGGAGAUGCGGCUAUCUCAUGAAAAGCUAACGCCUUUAUUCAGCAGGAAAAGAUGCUUUGCCUGGGUUUGGCCGCCUGCCUUGUACAAAUCGGUGGAAUGCUCUAUUAAUUACAACAAGGAGACGAGACAAAGAGUAUUAUUAAGCAAUACAAAGAGAAAGAAGAAAUGCUGCUGGUUUUGUUUCAUCCUCUUUGUUUGUCGCUGCAUUUCUCCAUUAUUCCAUUUGUUGCUGUUUCGAACAAGAUUUCUUCUUUGUUUAUUAUUU